CCUACGGGGUGCUGCAGUGGGGAAUAUUGGACAAUGGGCGAAAGCCUGAUCCAGCCAUGCCGCGUGUGUGAAGAAGGCCUUCGGGUUGUAAAGCACUUUCAGUGGGGAAGAAAGCCUUGGGGCUAAUACCCUCGAGGAAGGACAUCACCCACAGAAGAAGCACCGGCUAACUCCGUGCCAGUAGCCGCGGUAAUACGGAGGGUGCGAGCGUUAAUCGGAAUUACUGGGCGUAAAGCGCGCGUAGGCGGUCUGAUAAGCCGGUUGUGAAAGCCCCGGGCUCAACCUGGGAACGGCAUCCGGAACUGUCAGGCUAGAGUGCAGGAGAGGAAGGUAGAAUUCCCGGUGUAGCAGUGAAAUGCGUAGAGAUCGGGAGGAAUACCAGUGGCGAAGGCGGCCUUCUGGACUGACACUGACGCUGAGGUGCGAAAGCGUGGGUAGCAAACAGGAUUAGAUACCCCAGUAGUC
RNAcentral lists this ribosomal RNA (465 nucleotides) under Vreelandella stevensii. RNAcentral's name for it is "partial 16S ribosomal RNA". It matches the Rfam family "Bacterial small subunit ribosomal RNA", at positions 338 to 795 of the family's 1533-position model. The record is from RNAcentral. Lineage: Bacteria; Pseudomonadati; Pseudomonadota; Gammaproteobacteria; Oceanospirillales; Halomonadaceae.